This 428-nucleotide ribosomal RNA is filed under the name uncultured bacterium. RNAcentral describes it as "bacterial SSU rRNA". It matches the Rfam family "Bacterial small subunit ribosomal RNA", at positions 355 to 775 of the family's 1533-position model. The record is from RNAcentral.
UGGGGAAUAUUGGACAAUGGGGGCAACCCUGAUCCAGCAAUGCCGCGUGUGUGAAGAAGGCCUGAGGGUUGUAAAGCACUUUCAGUGGGGAGGAGAGUUGACAGGUUAAGAGCUAGUUAACUGGACGUUACCCACAGAAGAAGCACCGGCUAACUCUGUGCCAGCAGCCGCGGUAAUACAGAGGGUGCAAGCGUUAAUCGGAAUUACUGGACGUAAAGGGUGCGUAGGUGGUUUGAUAAGUUAUCUGUGAAAUUCCUGGGCUUAACCUGGGCAGGUCAGAUAAGACUGUUGAACUCGAGUAUGGGAGAGGGUAGUGGAAUUUCCGGUGUAGCGGUGAAAUGCGUAGAGAUCGGAAGGAACACCAGUGGCGAAGGCGGCUACCUGGCCCAAUACUGACACUGAGGCACGAAAGCGUGGGGAGCAAACAG